RNAcentral lists this ribosomal RNA (292 nucleotides) under uncultured bacterium. RNAcentral's name for it is "partial 16S ribosomal RNA". It matches the Rfam family "Bacterial small subunit ribosomal RNA", at positions 505 to 796 of the family's 1533-position model. The record is from RNAcentral.
GUGCCAGCCGCCGCGGUAAUACGUAGGGUGCAAGCGUUGUCCGGAAUUAUUGGGCGUAAAGAGCUCGUAGGCGGUUUGUCGCGUCUGCUGUGAAAACUCGGGGCUCAACUCCGAGCUUGCAGUGGGUACGGGCAGACUAGAGUGCGGUAGGGGAGACUGGAAUUCCUGGUGUAGCGGUGGAAUGCGCAGAUAUCAGGAGGAACACCGGUGGCGAAGGCGGGUCUCUGGGCCGUAACUGACGCUGAGGAGCGAAAGCAUGGGGAGCGAACAGGAUUAGAUACCCGUGUAGUCC